GCAAAUCAAUAUAAAUUGAUUAAUAUUUAUUUAUUUAUUUUUUUUAUUAUGUUUGUGAUUUAAAUUUAUUAAAAAUAAUUGUAUAAUUUAAUGUUUAGUAAAUUUUAUUAAAAAAAUAAUUUUUGUAAUAUUGUAUUAUGUACUGUGAGGGAUUAUUGAAAUAAUUUGAAAAAUUUUUGUUUAAAAAGAAGAUUUAAUUUAUCGUACCUUGUGUAUCAGGGUUUAUUAAAUAGUGAAUAAUUAAUUUAUUUAUCUCGAUUUUAUAAGAGUUAAUGGUUUAUUAAAGUUAAUGUAUUAAAAUUAUUUUAAAUAAUCUAUUAGAAAUGAAAUGUUAUUCGUUUAUAAAGGUAUCUAGUUUUUUUAUAAAUAAAUUUAAUUUACAAAUUUUUGAUUUUUAUUUUUUUUAAGAAAUUUAAAGAAUUAUUGAUUUGAAUAUUUUAAGGGAUAAGCUUUAAAAUAAAGUUUUAAAAAUUAAUAAUUAUUAUUUAAAAUGUAUGCUUAUAAUUAGCAAUCAUUAAUGAUUUUGUUAUAAAUUAUUUUAUAAUUUGUAUUAUUUAUUAAUGUUUUAAUUUUUUAUAAAAAUGUUUUUAUUAAUAUUUAUUGAUAAGUAAUAAUGAUUAAAUUAGUAUAUAUUUUUUGUUUUAAUAAUUUGAUUUGAUAAGUUUAUAUAAAGAACUCGGCAAAUUUUGUACUCGCCUGUUUAACAAAAACAUGUCUUUUUGAGUUAAUUUUAAAGUCUGACCUGCCCACUGAAAUGUUUUUAAAUGGCCGCAGUAUUUUAACUGUGCAAAGGUAGCAUAAUCAUUAGUCUUUUAAUUGAAGGCUGGUAUGAACGGUUGGACGAAGUAUAAUCUGUUUCAUAUAAAAUUAUAGUAAAAUUUUAUAUUUUAGUAAAAAAGCUAAAAUAAAAUUAAAAGACGAGAAGACCCUAUAAAUCUUUAUAAUUAAUAUUAAAUAAAUUUUUUUGGUUUUUUUAUGUUUUUUUAAUAUUAAUUAUUUUGUUGGGGUGAUAUUAAAAUUUAAUGAACUUUUAAUUUAUUAAAUCAUUAAUUUAUGAAUUAUUGAUCCAUUGAUUAUGAUUAUAAGAUUAAGUUACUUUAGGGAUAACAGCGUAAUUUUUUUGGAGAGUUCAUAUUGAUAAAAAAGUUUGCGACCUCGAUGUUGGAUUAAGAUAAAGAUUAGGUGUAGCUGNUUAAUUGGUGAAGUCUGUUCGACUUU
Molecule: ribosomal RNA, 1218 nt
Filed under: Hexachaeta amabilis
Lineage: Eukaryota; Metazoa; Arthropoda; Insecta; Diptera; Tephritidae
Description: partial 16S ribosomal RNA
Source: RNAcentral